Molecule: transfer RNA, 71 nt
Filed under: Yimella lutea
Lineage: Bacteria; Bacillati; Actinomycetota; Actinomycetes; Micrococcales; Dermacoccaceae
Description: tRNA-Cys
Rfam family: tRNA
About the family: Transfer RNA (tRNA) molecules are approximately 80 nucleotides in length.
Source: RNAcentral
GGCGCUGUGCCCGAGUGGUCAGGGACCGGUCUGCAAUACCGGUGACGUCGGUUCGAUUCCGACCAGCGUCU